RNAcentral lists this long non-coding RNA (256 nucleotides) under Paramuricea clavata. Lineage: Eukaryota; Metazoa; Cnidaria; Anthozoa; Malacalcyonacea; Plexauridae. The record is from RNAcentral.
UGCGAAGUUUGCAAUUUUCAGUCAUUUUGCAUUACAAACGGGAAAUUGCAGCCCCAACACCCGAAUCGGAUGUCAAUUUCCCGUUUGUAAUACAAAAUGACUGAAAAACGGCAAACUUCGCAAAGCUAUAUUAUCCGCACUUUACAAGAUUUUGCAACAAAACUUUGGAAUAUUACUAAUUUUGUGAUGCUCUUUCAAGCUGUGAUGAAAUUUUUGUCUAGAUCGAAAUUUUAGUUAUAAGGGGAAAGGUCCAUUG